Molecule: ribosomal RNA, 453 nt
Filed under: uncultured Porphyromonadaceae bacterium
Lineage: Bacteria; Pseudomonadati; Bacteroidota; Bacteroidia; Bacteroidales; Porphyromonadaceae
Description: partial 16S ribosomal RNA
Rfam family: Bacterial small subunit ribosomal RNA
Source: RNAcentral
ACGGAAGGCAGCAGUGAGGAAUAUUGGUCAAUGGGCGGAAGCCUGAACCAGCCAAGUCGCGUGAAGGAUGAAGGUAUUAUGUAUUGUAAACUUCUUUAGACGUAGAGAAAUAAGAGGGUCGUGACCCUUGAUGCUAGUAUACGUAGAAUAAGGAUCGGCUAACUCCGUGCCAGCAGCCGCGGUAAUACGGAGGAUCCGAGCGUUAUCCGGAUUUAUUGGGUCUAAAGGGUGCGCAGGCGGUCUUUUAAGUCAGUGGUUAAAUCGUGGAGCUUAACUCCAUCCCGCCAUUGAUACUGGAGGACUUGAUUGCGGUUGAGGUUGGCGGAAUUCGCCGUGUAGCGGUGAAAUGCAUAGAUAUGGCGAAGAACUCCGAUUGCGUAGGCAGCUGACCAAGCCGUAAAUGACGCUCAUGCACGAAAGUGCGGGGAUCGAACAGGAUUAGAUACCCUGGUA